Spinacia oleracea (spinach) is the source of this 4841-nucleotide RNA transcript. It is a transcript of the gene named protein FLX-like 3, with no coding region annotated. Lineage: Eukaryota; Viridiplantae; Streptophyta; Magnoliopsida; Caryophyllales; Amaranthaceae. The record is from RefSeq and is a predicted model, not a curated record. The transcript has 9 exons.
UAUUGGCCACUAAAUAACAUGAAAGUUUAGAAAAAAAGAAAAACUCAAGUCUAUCCCCUCCACACUCGUAUCUUCUUCCUCAACCAUCAGGCCCGUCUUCAAUUCCAUCUGAGGAUCAAAGUUUUCCAGGAAUCGAAUUACAGUCUCUCUGUUUCUUAGGAGAAUUGAUAAUGUCGGGUAGGAGUCGUGGACAUCGUGAUGCCUUCGAUGAUAGGCGUGGUUAUCCUCCAAGUGCACACAUUGUUCGAGGUCCACCCCCAACCUUUCAUCCUGCCAUUUUGGAAGAAGAAAUUGAAAUACAACGUGAUGAGAUGCGUAAGCUUUUGGAGGAUAACAGAAGACUUGCUGAGGACCGGGUGGCGUUGCAGCGAGAGUUACAUGCUGCAAGGGAGGAGAUUCACCGCAUGAAUCUUGCUAUUUCUGAUAUUCGCAAGGAGCAUGAUGUUCAUUCAAGGGAUCUCAUUGACAAAGGUUUGAAGCUGGAGGCUGAGCUACGUGCAGCUGAAUCUUUUAAGAAGGAUGCUACUCAAAUGCGUGCGGAAGUUCAGAAAUUAGAAAAGAUCCGACAAGAAUUAGUUGGGCAAGUUCAGUCGUUCUCCAAGGAUUUGACUAAGCUACAAGCUGAGAAUCAACAAAUUCCACACAUGAGAGCUGACAUUGAGGGUAUACAACAAGAACUUAUGCGUACAAGAAGUGCUAUCGACUAUGAAAAGAAGGCUAAGAUUGCGCUUCAUGAGCAGAAGCAAGCAAUGGAAAAUAACUUGAUCUCCAUGGCACGUGAAGUUGAAAAGUUGCGGGCAGAACUCACAAGCAAUAAUGGCAGACCAUGGGCUGCUGGUGGAACUUAUGGGAUGAAACUUAGCAGUCCUGAUGCUGGCUAUCCUGGUCACUAUGGAGAUCCGUAUGGUCCACAUAUGGGUGCUGCUGAGAAGGCUCCUCUCUAUGGAUCGGCAUCUACUGCUUGGGGUGGAAUUGAGAAGCCUCGUGGUGCAAGAAGAUGAAGAACUAUCUAAAUUAUGAAUCAGCCUGGCCGCCCCGUCCCUCUUAUGCUUUGCUACUAUCCAGUGUAUGAAAAGCCUGUGAGCAGUUGUUUCAUCUUGAUUGAGGGAAGUUAGGGGAAACUAUUGCCGUGUUUCCACAGAGGCCUUUGUUGCGCUUAAUCAAUCGGUUUGGAAUUCUUUUCUGCCACUAUCCUUUGAUUUCAGGCAAGAUAAAUGGUGGUGUUUCUAAGUAUCUCUUCUGUUGACAUUUUUGCCUUCUACAAGUUCGUUGGCUCACUGUCAUACCUAACAGUUUGGGAUCAAACUAGGGCUUCUAUGAGAGGUUACAGCCGUACGGCAUAGCAUAUGUUUGUGGCUGUUACUCUUUCACUGUGCAUUUCAAGCUUGAUAUCCAUAGUUAACCUGGGGUUUUCUGUAAAUAAUCAUAAUAAGAUGAUAUUUGUUCCAUUCACAGUUUUGAUAUUGUUCUUUCAAUAGGUGAAGUGAAGAAAUUAUGGAGAGUACGGAUUGUGCUAGCUCUAUAGCGCAUGUUUCUUCUGGAUAGUUCUGGCAGCUCAGAAUCAUAUGGUUCCAUGGUUUGAACUAGCUGGUGGAGUUGUAUUGUUUCUAGUCUCUUGCCAGAUUAGUUCAUCUAGCAUCUCUUGAAAUGAAGUAGACCUUUGCUUGGGUAAAUUAGACAUUUAUUAUUGCAUUUAGGGCUGUUUAGGUUAAGAAUGCAAUUCCCUAUUUUUUCCUCAUAGCUUACCAUCUUAUAUGCCUUUCUCUUGAUUACCCCAUUCAUUAAGUUUAUAUUCCACACCCAUUAGGGAAUCCUUCAUUUAUCAUCUAAACUCAUGAUUACCUGAUUGCUGUUAUUUCUCAAAUUUUCUUUGCUGAACCAAACACAUGAUGAUUGGUAUGCUUACUCAAGUACCCAAUUGCCUCAUUUUAUAACUCUUUAUUACUCGUGAUAUUUUAUUCGUUUCUCUUGCCUUUCAUUGAUCCCAGCAAGUGGCUCCUUGCCUCCUCGUGUUAUCUUGAACUUGUAAUAUUUCUUCAGAAGGAAUGAGGAAUGGGGUCUUAUAGUUUUGCUGGAUAUGUAAUAGGUGUUUCCUUUGUGAUAAAUUUUGGAAUGUGAAAAUGACUUGAUUUGUUGAAUUAGGUUAUUAUUCUUCGGGUUCUACUACCUCAUGCUCCUCAUGAUGAGUUGUGAAAGGAAGUCUUAGCUCAAGUUCAGCUCGUUUUACUGGUUUUGGUUUGGAUUGUCUAUUUUAGGUUGAAUUUUGAGGAGUAAGAGAUCAGUAGUGAAGGUAUUUUUGGAUCAUUUGGCGGUUUUUAGUUUUCUGCAGAGGUUGUUGAUAUGGGAGAAAAAUCAUUUGCACUACAAGUUGUGCAGUGUAUUUAUAAGAAGUUUAGGUCUCAGUGUAACAUGUGAGUUGAAAGGAAAAGGUGGUGUGGUCGAUUGGUUUAUGUGAACUGUUAAAGCAUUUAUUUCAAGGAUUAUGAGCUGAGCUAAAGAUCUGCCAUUAUGACAUGAUGAAGAUCUAAAGACAUUUUCGUUGUUACCUCACGUCAUAGUCCUCCUCUCUCUCUCUCUCUCUCUCUCUCUCUCUCUGAUCUUUAAUUCUGCAAAAUGGUUGAAUGGUUAGAUAUACUGGAUAUAUCCUCGUAUAAUCUCCAAUUAUGGAUCCAGAGAGACCAAAGCCAGGAAGAUGGGCGAGUAGCAGCAUCUGAUGUGAGCAACAUGGACAGGCGAGUGGCUUUACCUUCCAGUUGUGAGCAGCAUAUUUAAGACAGCCAAAUAGAGAAAUGAUCAAUGGACCGAAAAACCUGCACUUUCCAAUUUCUGUCAGAGUCGCUUGGAGGAGAAGGCUUAUUGAGAUUCUCUAUGGCGCUUGCUGGGAUUAGUAGAGAAGGGUCACAUUGCUUAGUCCAUCUUUGCUCAAAGUUGGUAAGAACAUCCCAGGCUGCUUCCCCUGUUAUACAAGCAUGUGCAUCAUGCCAUGGCUCUCUUGGUCCACCUUUGUUAAGGCUAGCACCUGCAAUAUUUGUUUGGUAGAAAUCAUGGGCAUGGAAUUCCGUGUUCAGCGUACGAAAUAGGGAGUGUUGUUCAGUAUCAUAGCGACCAUCACAGAGAUCUACGCCACCUAUGAAGCUCAUUAGUUCCCUAUUUCUUGGGGAGUUUUCUACCCUAGUGUCUACAGUUAUAGUCUUCUGGUGAUGGCUGAAGAAUGUGGGAAAUUUAUUGUGUAAUCUUGGGCAUAAUCUGCAUAUUACCCUAGUGUUCUUGAAGUAGGCGAAUGCAUCUUCAUCGUGAGUCUUCAUCAAGCCUUUGUUUUUAAUGAGAGGUAUGGAUGUUUCGUCAUUCCAUAGCAUAAUUCUCACUGUUACACCUUCUUCUGCUUUCUGUCUGAGCAAUUCUCCGAGUUCCACUCCUCUUGCACGUGGAAUUUCUGUUUGAGGAUCUCGAACCUGCCAUAAAGCUUGUAAGAAACACAAGAAAAGGCAGGAGUAGGAUAUGAAUCACAAGACAAGUACCCUCCCAAGGUCUUGAGACCCUGCUUAUACUAGCAUAUAAGCUAUGAAAAUUCACUAGGAAUAAAUCUGUUGUGUAAAAUGCAAUUACCAGCACCAUCUUGGGAUUGAAUGACCAUCCUGCAAUAUAAAUCAAAUGUUUUGCUCCCUCAAGGGCCUUAUAUACAUCCUCCCAUAGGUUUCGGGGAAUGUUAUGACCAGGCAAUGGUGGUUGGAAAGAACUAUGAUGGUGGACAUCAUGAUAAAGUGUAACACUGCAAUUGGAUCGUUGCGGAAAUGUUGCAUUUCUUAGGCCCUUGAAGUCACCACCAUAAAUUAACUUUCCCCAGCUAGGCUCCAAAUCUGCUGGCUUGAACCAUAAGAUGAAUUGGAGCCCUAACUUUUGUUUGGGCUUCCCAUCUUCAGAGAGCAAAGGAAAGAAGCCAUUUAUCAGGCUUGCUUGAGUGACAAUCUGAUGUGCCUCAAAUUGUAUCUUCCCCAGGACGGAGCACUUGGUUUUGACAGUAAUUGUGAUGGUUGAGUCAAUGGGAUGAGCACAGAGGAUUUGAAAGGUCUGGUUCCAAAUCCGGUCUCGUUCGCUUGUUGUGUUUGCCAUUUUGUGUUGGCCUAUCUUGAUUGUCACAUAUGCUGGUCUACCGCUUCCUGAUAAACACUGCACAGAUAGGGUCAAUUUUCCAGCCUAGCCUUCCUUCCCAGCAAUUGUUCAAAGGUGUUCAAGGCUUCAAGUCAACUCAAACCCGCCAGAAAGGCGGAAAGAGAAGAUAUUGAAAAUGAGCGAUGACAUCACCGGUAAUUGUCCGGUCCAUUUACUGGAACGAGAAGAUCCUUUAAAAACAAAACAAAAAACAUCUCACAGGAAUCACUACCCCCUCGCUACGGUGCCAGUGCGCCAACCCCUCGACCCAAAUUGAAAAUCACUGUCUUGGAUCAUCCUAUUGCUAUGGAUCCAGCGAGAAACCGGAAAACAAAGGCCUUUGACGGAAAAUUGGUUUUGGUCGAUAAACUGACUAAUAUUACUGAAAGAAGUCGCAUGGUUUUGCGAAGAAAGUUUUAAUUUGCCUAAUUGCGACGGACACAUCUUCAACCUCGGAUUACUCUGAAUGUGUGCUAAUUGGCAAAACAAGGGGAUUUUCAUGGACUUGCAGAUUAGGGAGAACUUUUUCGAGAAAGAGGAUGACCAUCCAAUUUUCCGUUUAUAUAAGAAAUUAUCUGGUACUUAUAUUCAUUAGGCUGUGAAGAUAUUUUUUGUUUCGAAUGCACUUGUUUUCAUUAUUGGAUAGAAAAUACAGAAACAACACAAGGAAUUGAAAUUAUUAGAUUGAUCAA